CUGCUCAGCAUUUGGGGACGCUCUCAGCUCUCGGCGCACGGCCCAGAGACGCUCUUCUGGCUCUUCCGUGACGCAUUACAACAGCCAUCCAGGCCGGUCCAGUUACGCUGCAUUCCUUCCUCCUUCCCAUUUCGGCGGACGUGCAUCCAGCUAGAGACUAGCAGAUUGAAUCGAUAUUCAUUAAGUUAGGAAUGGUUGAUGGUCCUAAGAGCCUCAGCAACCGAGAGGAGUCUUGUUAUUUAAAAAACAACGAUACUGGGCGUGGUCGUGGGCCUGUAGUCCCAGCUGCUCUAGCUAGUGGAUCUCUUGAGUCCAAGGCCAAUGUGAGGAACAUAGCAAGACCCAGUCUCAAAAAAUAAAUACAUAAAAUAAUAAUAAUAAAGAACCCUCGUUCACCUAAACAGAUCUAUAAUUUAUAGAACGUAAAGCAGUAAUAUUCAGGCAAUAUUAAGGAAGAUUUUUGGUAAGACUGGGGCAGCAGAGGUGCCCUUGAUGGGCAAGGGCCAGGAGUGUUAACAGAGUCCUGCUUAGUAAUUUCUUCCGUUCUUCCAAGUCUGUCGAUUAUCUAAAGG
Molecule: small RNA, 572 nt
Filed under: Pan troglodytes (chimpanzee)
Lineage: Eukaryota; Metazoa; Chordata; Mammalia; Primates; Hominidae
Description: processed transcript
Source: RNAcentral